CUACGGGGGACACCAGUGAGGAAUUUUGCGCAAUGGGGGAAACCCUGACGCAGCAACGCCGCGUGAGCGAAGAAGGCCCUCGGGUCGUAAAGCUCUGUCAAGUGGGAAAAAAAUUUUUUGAUCAAUAGUCAAAAGACUUGAUGGUACCACUGGAGGAAGCACCGGCUAACUCCGUGCCAGCAGCCGCGGUAAUACGGAGGGUGCAAGCGUUGUUCGGAAUUACUGGGCGUAAAGAGCGUGUAGGCGGUUUAGCAAGUCAGAUGUGAAAGCCCUGGGCUCAACCCGGGAAGUGCAUUUGAAACUGCUUCACUAGAGUAUGGGAGAGGAGAUUGGAAUUCCUGGUGUAGAGGUGAAAUUCGUAGAUAUCAGGAGGAACACCCGUGGCGAAGGCGAUUCUCUGGACCAAUACUGACGCUGAGACGCGAAAGCGUGGGGAGCAAACAGGAUUAGAUACCCUGGUAGUC
Molecule: ribosomal RNA, 464 nt
Filed under: uncultured bacterium
Lineage: Bacteria
Description: partial 16S ribosomal RNA
Rfam family: Bacterial small subunit ribosomal RNA
Source: RNAcentral